RNAcentral lists this long non-coding RNA (202 nucleotides) under Manihot esculenta (cassava). RNAcentral's name for it is "long non-coding RNA (MESC_LNC009626)". Lineage: Eukaryota; Viridiplantae; Streptophyta; Magnoliopsida; Malpighiales; Euphorbiaceae. The record is from RNAcentral.
UGUGGUAUUGAGCAAAGGAUUGCUCUUAAGUGAAAAAGAGAUUUGUAAAGAGCAAAGGCUUGCUCUAUGAUUGUAAGGGUUUUAAUCUUCACCCAAAGAAGAUUUGAUAGUGGAGUUGAACUCUCAAGGUGGGCCUUGAGGAGAGGACGUAGGCUUGAGAUAGCUGAACCUCUAUAAAUCCUUGUGUUGAUUUUCUUCUUCC